CAGUCGCCACGGGAACACGGAGGGUGCAAGCGUUGUCCGGAAUUAUUGGGCGUAAAGAGCUCGUAGGUGGUCUGUCACGUCGGCUGUGAAAACCUGGGGCUCAACCCCGGGCCUGCAGCCGAUACGGGCAGACUAGAGUUCGGCAGGGGAGACUGGAAUUCCUGGUGUAGCGGUGAAAUGCGCAGAUAUCAGGAGGAACACCGGUGGCGAAGGCGGGUCUCUGGGCCGAUACUGACACUGAGGAGCGAAAGCGUGGGGAGCAAACAGGAUUAGAUACCCCAGUAGUCCCUGUCUCUUAUAC
RNAcentral lists this ribosomal RNA (301 nucleotides) under uncultured bacterium. RNAcentral describes it as "partial 16S ribosomal RNA". It matches the Rfam family "Bacterial small subunit ribosomal RNA", at positions 509 to 807 of the family's 1533-position model. The record is from RNAcentral.